UCUAUUAAUUGUAGACCCGUAUGAAAGGCACAAUGAGGGCCUACCUGUCUCUUAUAAUUAAUCAAUUAAACUGAUCUUCUAGUAAAAAAGCUAGAAUACGCACACAAGACCAGAAGACCCUGUGAAGCUUAAACUAAACUAUUAAACCCUAUAAUAAUUACUUUCGGUUGGGGCGACCUUGGAAAAAAAAAGAACUUCCAAAUACAUGACCAUAACUCCUAUAUCGGCCUACAAGCCUACACAGACCCAGUAUAACUGACAAUUGAACCAAGUUACUCCAGGGAUAACAGCGCCAUCUUCUUCAAGAGUCCAUAUUAAAAAGAAGGUUUACGACCUCGAUGUUGGAUCAGGACAUCCUAAUGGUGCA
RNAcentral lists this ribosomal RNA (367 nucleotides) under Atractus zidoki (Zidok's ground snake). Its description in RNAcentral is "partial 16S ribosomal RNA". It matches the Rfam family "Bacterial large subunit ribosomal RNA", at positions 1972 to 2557 of the family's 2925-position model. The record is from RNAcentral. Lineage: Eukaryota; Metazoa; Chordata; Lepidosauria; Squamata; Dipsadidae.